RNAcentral lists this ribosomal RNA (259 nucleotides) under uncultured bacterium. RNAcentral describes it as "partial 16S ribosomal RNA". It matches the Rfam family "Bacterial small subunit ribosomal RNA", at positions 793 to 1055 of the family's 1533-position model. The record is from RNAcentral.
GUCCACGCCGUAACUAUGUCUACUAGCCGUUGGGAGACUUGAUCUCUUAGUGGCGCAGCUAACGCGAUAAGUAGACCGCCUGGGAGUACGGUCGCAAGACUAAACUCAAAUGAAUUGACGGGGCCCGCACAAGCGGUGGAGCAUGUGGUUUAAUUCGAUGCAACGCGAAGAACCUUACCAGGUCUUGACAUCCUGCGAACCUUUCAGAGAUGAGAGGGUGCCUUCGGGAGCGCAGAGACAGGUGCUGCAUGGCUGUCGU